Molecule: ribosomal RNA, 569 nt
Filed under: Salmonella enterica subsp. enterica serovar Weltevreden
Lineage: Bacteria; Pseudomonadati; Pseudomonadota; Gammaproteobacteria; Enterobacterales; Enterobacteriaceae
Description: partial 23S ribosomal RNA
Rfam family: Bacterial large subunit ribosomal RNA
Source: RNAcentral
AAUACCACCCUUUAAUGUUUGAUGUUCUAACGUGGACCCGUGAUCCGGGUUGCGGACAGUGUCUGGUGGGUAGUUUGACUGGGGCGGUCUCCUCCUAAAGAGUAACGGAGGAGCACGAAGGUUGGCUAAUCCUGGUCGGACAUCAGGAGGUUAGUGCAAUGGCAUAAGCCAGCUUGACUGCGAGCGUGACGGCGCGAGCAGGUGCGAAAGCAGGUCAUAGUGAUCCGGUGGUUCUGAAUGGAAGGGCCAUCGCUCAACGGAUAAAAGGUACUCCGGGGAUAACAGGCUGAUACCGCCCAAGAGUUCAUAUCGACGGCGGUGUUUGGCACCUCGAUGUCGGCUCAUCACAUCCUGGGGCUGAAGUAGGUCCCAAGGGUAUGGCUGUUCGCCAUUUAAAGUGGUACGCGAGCUGGGUUUAGAACGUCGUGAGACAGUUCGGUCCCUAUCUGCCGUGGGCGCUGGAGAACUGAGGGGGGCUGCUCCUAGUACGAGAGGACCGGAGUGGACGCAUCACUGGUGUUCGGGUUGUCAUGCCAAUGGCACUGCCCGGUAGCUAAAUGCGGAAGAGA